CCUACGGGAGGCAGCAGUAAGGAAUAUUGGUCAAUGGGCGGAAGCCUGAACCAGCCAUGCCGCGUGCAGGAAGACGGCCUACGGGUUGUAAACUGCUUUUGUACCAGAAUAUGUAUGGUAAGAAUAAGGAUCGGCUAACUCCGUGCCAGCAGCCGCGGUAAUACGGAGGAUCCGAGCGUUAUCCGGAUUUAUUGGGUUUAAAGGGUGCGUAGGCGGCUUUUUAAGUCAGGGGUGAAAGACGGUAGCUUAACUAUCGCAGUGCCCUUGAUACUGAAGAGCUUGAAUGUACUAGAGGUAGGCGGAAUGUGACAAGUAGCGGUGAAAUGCAUAGAUAUGUCACAGAACACCAAUUGCGAAGGCAGCUUACUAUGUUGAUUGACGCUGAGGCACGAAAGCGUGGGGAUCAAACAGGAUUAGAUACCCUUGUAGUC
RNAcentral lists this ribosomal RNA (431 nucleotides) under uncultured bacterium. Its description in RNAcentral is "partial 16S ribosomal RNA". It matches the Rfam family "Bacterial small subunit ribosomal RNA", at positions 338 to 795 of the family's 1533-position model. The record is from RNAcentral.